This 1357-nucleotide ribosomal RNA is filed under the name Citrobacter sedlakii. Its description in RNAcentral is "bacterial SSU rRNA". It matches the Rfam family "Bacterial small subunit ribosomal RNA". Lineage: Bacteria; Pseudomonadati; Pseudomonadota; Gammaproteobacteria; Enterobacterales; Enterobacteriaceae. The record is from RNAcentral.
AGCUUGCUGCUUUGCUGACGAGUGGCGGACGGGUGAGUAAUGUCUGGGAAACUGCCCGGUGGAGGGGGAUAACUACUGGAAACGGUAGCUAAUACCGCAUAACGUCGCAAGACCAAAGAGGGGGACCUUCGGGCCUCUUGCCACCGGAUGUGCCCAGAUGGGAUUAGCUUGUUGGUGAGGUAACGGCUCACCAAGGCGACGAUCCCUAGCUGGUCUGAGAGGAUGACCAGCCACACUGGAACUGAGACACGGUCCAGACUCCUACGGGAGGCAGCAGUGGGGAAUAUUGCACAAUGGGCGCAAGCCUGAUGCAGCCAUGCCGCGUGUAUGAAGAAGGCCUUCGGGUUGUAAAGUACUUUCAGCGGGGAGGAAGGGAUUGUGGUUAAUAACCGCAGUCAUUGACGUUACCCGCAGAAGAAGCACCGGCUAACUCCGUGCCAGCAGCCGCGGUAAUACGGAGGGUGCAAGCGUUAAUCGGAAUUACUGGGCGUAAAGCGCACGCAGGCGGUCUGUCAAGUCGGAUGUGAAAUCCCCGGGCUCAACCUGGGAACUGCAUUCGAAACUGGCAGGCUUGAGUCUCGUAGAGGGGGGUAGAAUUCCAGGUGUAGCGGUGAAAUGCGUAGAGAUCUGGAGGAAUACCGGUGGCGAAGGCGGCCCCCUGGACGAAGACUGACGCUCAGGUGCGAAAGCGUGGGGAGCAAACAGGAUUAGAUACCCUGGUAGUCCACGCCGUAAACGAUGUCUACUUGGAGGCUGUGCCCUUGAGGCGUGGCUUCCGGAGCUAACGCGUUAAGUAGACCGCCUGGGGAGUACGGCCGCAAGGUUAAAACUCAAAUGAAUUGACGGGGGCCCGCACAAGCGGUGGAGCAUGUGGUUUAAUUCGAUGCAACGCGAAGAACCUUACCUGGUCUUGACAUCCACGGAAGACUGCAGAGAUGCGGUUGUGCCUUCGGGAACCGUGAGACAGGUGCUGCAUGGCUGUCGUCAGCUCGUGUUGUGAAAUGUUGGGUUAAGUCCCGCAACGAGCGCAUCCUUAUCCUUUGUUGCCGGCGGUCCGGCCGGGAACUCAAAGGAGACUGCCACUGAUAACUGCAGGAAGGUGGGGAUGACGUCAAUCAUCAUGGCCCUUACGACCGGGCUACCCCGUGCUACAUGGCAUUACAAAGAGAACGACCUCCCAAAACAACGGACCUCAAAAUUUGUCUUAUCCGGAUGGAGCCGCACCCCCCCCCUGAUCCGAUCCCUAAAAUCGGGAACAAAAGCCCGGGAAAACCUCCCGGCCUUUAACCCCCCCCUCCCCAUGGGAGGGGUUGCAAAAAAAGGGGCUUACCUUGGAGGGGCUUCCCUUUGGUUUGGC